GCACCCAAUACCUCGUCGAGUCCAAAGCUCCUGCUCAAGCAGUUCAAUCCAAUUGAAUUGAGUACCUACGACUGUGGAAUGCUUCUUAUAUGUUAUUUUAUUAUAAGAGGAACUCAAAGUAAAAACUAGACUUUGUCUUGCACACUGACUUCAAUCGUAUAGAGAUUUCCCACUGUCUGUGUCGAUACCAGAAACUACGAC
This 201-nucleotide long non-coding RNA is filed under the name Lathyrus oleraceus (garden pea). RNAcentral's name for it is "Pisum sativum (pea) long non-coding RNA (PSAT_LNC014699)". Lineage: Eukaryota; Viridiplantae; Streptophyta; Magnoliopsida; Fabales; Fabaceae. The record is from RNAcentral.